This is a non-coding RNA of Notechis scutatus (mainland tiger snake), 87 nucleotides long. The record is from RefSeq and is a predicted model, not a curated record. NCBI's taxonomy places the organism in Eukaryota, Metazoa, Chordata, Lepidosauria, Squamata, Elapidae.
UCAUUGGCCGCCGAGCCGCGAGCAAUUCCUAUAUGAAGGGUUGCCACGGCUCGCAGGUUUUGUACUGCUCAUUAUUGUAUAAACAGA